CAGGGAGAGGGUGAUCUUCAGAUACUGCUUGAAGGUUACGUUGUAGAUUGCAUUAAUCCGACCAAACACUUCGGCCACAGCCAAUCCUAUAAGGAAUCCUGACCUGAAAUAACCCCAAAGAUGACCUGAUGUGGGAAGUGAGCAGCCAGAAACACUCUGGAUGCACAGACACAGACUUGAAUCAGCCAGAACACUGUCCAAAGCAGUACAUGGAGACACCUGGAAAAUGAGAAGGGCUGCUUUUUUUGGAAUCCAAUUGUCAGGAAUGCUGUGACCAUCACAUACCAGACACCAGAUGAACCCAUUGCAUGACCAGAUGGACUUCCUGUCAAACACAUCAUACAAAGGCUCAAUUAUAAAAUGGUGUUUUCCAUUGUUAAUCAUUUAAAUAAUACUUUCUAAUGCUUUUUAACACGUCCCUUCCUCCUCCUGCACUAUCCAUCCAGUGUCCCCCAAGGAUCUAUCCUUGGUCCCCUCCUAUCCGUCCCUUCAUGCGAAAGCACAGUGUUGGUUUACACAUCUACACUGACGACACCCAGCUCUACCUCCGCCUCCUCUCAACCCCUCCAUUGUCCCCAAAUUGUCAGACUCCUCAUCCAACAUCCAGUACUGGAUGAACAGUAACUUCUUCCAAUUAAAUAUUGGGAAGACUGAAGCCAUUGUCUUUGCUCCCUGCUUCAAACUCCAUUCCCUAGUUCCUAACAUCACCCCUUUUCCAUGCAGAUGCCUGAGACUAAACCAGACUGCUUGCAACCCUGGUAUCAUAUUUGACCUCAAGAUGAUUUCCGGCCUCAAAUCUGUACAAUGACUAAGACUGCCUAUUUCCAUGAUCGUAACAUCAGCGACUUCACCCCGCCUCAGCUUAUCUGCUGCUGAAACCCUCAGUCAUUUCCUUGCUACCUCCAGACUUGACCUAUUCCAGCACACUAAGUUGUAAUCCCACGUUGGCCCUCCAUAAACUUAAGGUAAUUCAAAACUCUCCUGCCCGUAUCCUUAUUUGCACCAAAUCUUGUUCAUCUGUCACCCCUGAACUUGCUAGGGUUGCACUGGCUCCCUAUCAAGUGACACCUAGAAUUAAAAAUUCUCAUCCUUGUUUUCAAAACCCUCCAUAACUUCACCCCUCUAUCAUUGUAAUCUCCUCCAGCCCCACAAUCCAUUGAAGUAUCUGUGCUCAUCUAAUUUUGGCCACUUGUGCACCCCUGACUUUAAUCGCUCCACCAUUGGUGUUGGCCUUGCCUUCAGCUGCCUAGGUCGUAAACUCUGGAAUUCCCUCCCUAAACCUCUUCACUUCUUUCCCUCCAUUUCUUCAUUUAAGAUCCUCCUUAAAAUCUACCUCCUUGACCAAGCUUUUAGUCAUCUGCCCUUAUAUUGCCUCAUGUGGCUCAAAUUUUGCUUAAUAAUGCUCCUGUGAAGCACCUUGGGAGUUUUUAAUCAUGUUAAAGGUGCUAUAUAAAUACAAGUUGUUGUAAAAGGUAAAGGCAAAAGGAACAUAUCCUGGAAUUGCGCCUUUUUUGAAUUAAACAAAAGCACAGGGGGCAAUUAUUUCCUGAUGCAUUCUCCAUGGCAACAGCUCGAUCAGAAUCAACUUGCCAAAACCCUUAUUUCUCAUUCAGUAUAUAUUGUUGCUCCCUUUGAAAUUUGUCAACCUUGCGUCUGUCCUGAUGAGUGUAAAAUGAAAAGUUUUGACAGGAUGCCUCUUUGCUCCACAAUUUUACUUUAGUUGCUAAUAUUGAUAUACGAUCUUUGAUUUACUUCGAAUGCAGAAUGCAAUGUAGUAUUGGAGAAGGAAAUUAGACAGCGAAAAGACGUCAAAAAUAAAAAUGAUCACGAUUUAAAA
Long non-coding RNA from Carcharodon carcharias (great white shark), 1837 nucleotides. RefSeq lists it as uncharacterized. The record is from RefSeq and is a predicted model, not a curated record. The transcript has 3 exons. Lineage: Eukaryota; Metazoa; Chordata; Chondrichthyes; Lamniformes; Lamnidae.